UACGUAGGUGGCAAGCGUUAUCCGGAUUUAUUGGGCGUAAAGGGUGCGCAGGCGGUCUGUUUAGUCUGAGGUGAAAGCGUUGAGCUCAACUCAAUUAAGCCUUAGAUACUGGCAGACUAGAGUGCGGAAGAGGGUUAUGGAAUUCCAUGUGUAGCGGUAAAAUGCGUAGAUAUAUGGAGGAACACCGGCGGCGAAGGCGGUAACCUGGUCCGUAACUGACGCUCAGGCACGAAAGCGUGGGGAGCAAAUA
This 250-nucleotide ribosomal RNA is filed under the name uncultured prokaryote. RNAcentral describes it as "partial 16S ribosomal RNA". It matches the Rfam family "Bacterial small subunit ribosomal RNA", at positions 524 to 774 of the family's 1533-position model. The record is from RNAcentral.